This 429-nucleotide ribosomal RNA is filed under the name uncultured bacterium. Its description in RNAcentral is "bacterial SSU rRNA". It matches the Rfam family "Bacterial small subunit ribosomal RNA", at positions 31 to 507 of the family's 1533-position model. The record is from RNAcentral.
GAACGCUGGCGGCAUGCCUAACACAUGCAAGUCAAACGAGACCUUCGGGUCUAGUGGCGCACGGGUGCGUAACGCGUGGGAAUCUGCCCUUUGCUUCGGAAUAACAGUUAGAAAUGACUGCUAAUACCGGAUGAUGUCUUCGGACCAAAGAUUUAUCGGCAAAGGAUGAGCCCGCGUAGGAUUAGGUAGUUGGUGGGGUAAAGGCCUACCAAGCCGACGAUCCUUAGCUGGUCUGAGAGGAUGAUCAGCCACACUGGGACUGAGACACGGCCCAGACUCCUACGUGAGGCAGCAGUGGGAAUAUUGGACAAUGGGCGCAAGCCUGAUCCAGCAAUGCCGCGUGAGUGAUGAAGGCCUUCGGGUCGUAAAGCUCUUUUACCAGGGAUGAUAAUGACAGUACCUGGAGAAUAAGCUCCGGCUAACUCCGUG